Molecule: long non-coding RNA, 1168 nt
Filed under: Nicotiana tabacum (common tobacco)
Lineage: Eukaryota; Viridiplantae; Streptophyta; Magnoliopsida; Solanales; Solanaceae
Description: long non-coding RNA (NTAB_LNC012404)
Source: RNAcentral
AGAAAUAAAAGUGAAAAGAGUGCAACCGAGUCCUGGUUUUGGGCAGCCUACAUAUCCCGGGUUAUAGGAAAAUCAGGUCGCAUGUAGUUCAAGGAGAAUGGUGGAAUGAUGAGUUGAGGAGUCGAGUGAGGUUCCGUCGAAGCUCCCGUCUGCAAUCUUGUUUAUUACAUCAAAGAUAUAAAAAGGUUACAUUAAAGAAAAGGAAACUACAAAAUCCUAUCUAUGUCUUCAGAAACUUGAUCUUGUGUCUUGGUUGGUUCUUCAUGCGGACCCUGAUCUGAAUCUUAAUGCUUGUUAGCUGCAGGUAUUGGUUCUUUCCUUUUUCAACUUCUCGGAUUAAGGCGGGACAUGCAAAGCUUGUGACUUCAACCAUAUCUUGAGCAGUCUGCAUCUUUUCUCAGCUUCUGCACUUUAAAUUCACUUCUUUUUGUUCUUUUCUUUAUUCUGGAUUGAGACUCAUUCUUUUGGUCGUCUCAAACCCUGUGCCUCGAUGUAAAACCUGCUCAGACACUAAAACAAACAAACGAACAAAAUUUUUCUGCUCUAGUUUUCACUAGAAAAAUUUCGUGAGUUAUUUGUUUCUAAAAUCUAAACUAUUUCUUUAUUUGAAAGCGAUAAAAUAAGAAUUGUGUAUCUUUGGGAGAAAGAUAUUAGGGAGUGGAGCCCUAUAUCUAUAAAUAACCUCAACUAGGGAGUGAACACCCUAUGUUGGAGAAAGGCGACUAGUGGAUGGAGACCCUAUGUCUAAAAAUCUCAAUUAGAGAUUGGAGCCCUAUGUUGGCAAAAUGCGACUAGGGAAUGGAGGCCCAAUGUCUAAAAUCUCAACUAGGGAUUGAAGCCCUAUGUUGGCAAAAAGCGACUAGGGGAUGGAGACCCUAUGUCUAAAAAUCUACAACUAGGGAUUGGAGCCCUAUGUUGGCAAAAGGUGACUAGGGAAUGGAGGCCCUAUGUCUAAAAUCUCAACUAGGGAUUGGAGCCCUAUGUUGGCAAAAGGAAACUAGGGAAUGGAGGCCCUAUGUCUAAAAAUCUCAACUAGGGAUUGGAGCCCUAUGUUGGCAAAAGGCGACUAGAGAAUGGAGGCCCUAUGUCUAAAAAUCUCAACUAGGGAUUGGAGCCCUAUGUUGGCAAAACACGACUAGGGAAUGAAGGUCCUAUGUCUAAAAUUUCA